This 200-nucleotide long non-coding RNA is filed under the name Lathyrus oleraceus (garden pea). RNAcentral describes it as "Pisum sativum (pea) long non-coding RNA (PSAT_LNC001064)". The record is from RNAcentral. Lineage: Eukaryota; Viridiplantae; Streptophyta; Magnoliopsida; Fabales; Fabaceae.
AAAAAAAAAUUAACAACUUCAUUUAAAUCUUUUAGCCAUUUUGUACCCUUUUCAUUAAAACCUUUGUUAAAAUCAAUCUACCAACUUGUUUAAAUUUUUUACCACGAACUACGGGGUUUUGAUCCCUCAUUUUUCUGUUGGUACGUAGGCAUAAGACCGAAGGUCUUGUCAAACACAAAAUAUAAUAAAUGAAUUCUUUU